This 254-nucleotide ribosomal RNA is filed under the name uncultured bacterium. RNAcentral describes it as "partial 16S ribosomal RNA". It matches the Rfam family "Bacterial small subunit ribosomal RNA", at positions 524 to 776 of the family's 1533-position model. The record is from RNAcentral.
UACGGAGGGUGCAAGCGUUGCUCGGAAUUAUUGGGCGUAAAGGGCAGGUAGGUGGUCUCAUUUGUCUGGGGUGAAAGCCUUGGGCUUAACUCAAGAAGUGCCCCGGAAACGGUGAGACUAGAGGAUCGGAGAGGUCGGUGGAAUACCCGGUGUAGCGGUGAAAUGCGUAGAUAUCGGGAGGAACACCAGUGGCGAAGGCGACUACCUGGCCUGUUUCUUGACGCUGAGGCGCGAAAGCUAGGGGAGCAAACGGG